Long non-coding RNA from Mauremys mutica (yellowpond turtle), 469 nucleotides. RefSeq lists it as uncharacterized. The record is from RefSeq and is a predicted model, not a curated record. The transcript is spliced from 3 exons. NCBI's taxonomy places the organism in Eukaryota, Metazoa, Chordata, Testudines, Geoemydidae.
UACAUUCUGCCCCUUGAUGUCUCGAUGAAUUACUUUAUGCUGGUGUAGAUGACUCAAACCCUAGAAAAUUCAGUGGAUAAGCAAGGAUUCUCCUGACGCAUGCACCUCUGUACCUGGAGUAUCUGCUCACUGACAGCCUGGCUGCAGUUGGAGUUAUCCUGAUUUAGGAUAAUUCUUGGGAGAACCACCCCUCAGCUGAUCUGUCUGUAAGUGACAUUAUAUCUUCGGAAAGGCUGACUGAGUGCAGUCCCUCCCAGCUGUGGCAGAGAGCAGCACGGCAGGGCACAGAAGCAGGGACUCUGAGGUACUUGCCAAGGGAAUUGGGACUGGACUUUAACAGCAGCAGCAACACUGACAGCUUCAGCCCAUCUCAACAAGCUUCUUCUCUUUUCUCCAAAAGGGAAGCUACCACCAUCUUUAAUACCAUCUGAGAGAUGGUCAGACAGGGGGAGGUUUCCUUCUAAAGACU